GCCGAAGUGGCGGAAUAGGCAGACGCGCUGCGUUCAGGGCGCAGUCCUCAUUACGGGGGUGUGGGUUCGACUCCCACCUUCGGCA
Molecule: transfer RNA, 85 nt
Filed under: Anaerolineae bacterium
Lineage: Bacteria; Bacillati; Chloroflexota; Anaerolineae
Also listed under: 2 other names
Description: tRNA-Leu
Rfam family: tRNA
About the family: Transfer RNA (tRNA) molecules are approximately 80 nucleotides in length. Their secondary structure includes four short double-helical elements and three loops (D, anti-codon, and T loops). Further hydrogen bonds mediate the characteristic L-shaped molecular structure. tRNAs have two regions of fundamental functional importance: the anti-codon, which is responsible for specific mRNA codon recognition, and the 3' end, to which the tRNAs corresponding amino acid is attached (by aminoacyl-tRNA synthetases). tRNAs cope with the degeneracy of the genetic code in two manners: having more than one tRNA (with a specific anti-codon) for a particular amino acid; and 'wobble' base-pairing, i.e. permitting non-standard base-pairing at the 3rd anti-codon position.
Source: RNAcentral